UACGUAGGCAGCAAGCGUUGUUCGGAAUUACUGGGCGUAAAGAGUGUGUAGGCGGUGCUCCAAGUCUGUUGUGAAAUCUCCCGGCUCAACUGGGAGGGUGCGGCGGAAACUGGAAUGCUAGAGGAUGGGAGAGGUAAGCGGAAUUCCUGGUGUAGCAGUGAAAUGCGUAGAGAUGCGGAGGAACACCGAUGGCGAAGGCAGCCCCCUGGGCUAGCACUGACGCUCAGGCACGAAAGCGUGGGGAGCAAACAGG
This 253-nucleotide ribosomal RNA is filed under the name uncultured bacterium. RNAcentral's name for it is "partial 16S ribosomal RNA". It matches the Rfam family "Bacterial small subunit ribosomal RNA", at positions 524 to 776 of the family's 1533-position model. The record is from RNAcentral.